This is a non-coding RNA of Pseudohyphozyma bogoriensis, 96 nucleotides long. The record is from the annotation of a GenBank genome assembly. NCBI's taxonomy places the organism in Eukaryota, Fungi, Basidiomycota, Microbotryomycetes, Chrysozymaceae.
GCCCGGCUGGCCAAAUGGUACGGCGUUGGACUUCUAUUAUUCGAUAAGAAUCAUAGGUGUAUCCAAAGAUUGCGGGUUCGAGUCCCGCGUUGGGCU